Molecule: ribosomal RNA, 639 nt
Filed under: uncultured bacterium
Lineage: Bacteria
Description: bacterial SSU rRNA
Rfam family: Bacterial small subunit ribosomal RNA
Source: RNAcentral
UCGAGCGGAAGGCCACUUCGGUGGUACUCGAGCGGCGAACGGGUGAGUAACACGUGAGUAAUCUGCCCUCCACUUUGGGAUAGCCACCGGAAACGGUGAUUAAUACCGGAUAUGACCUCGCAUCGCAUGGUGUGUGGUGGAAAGUUUUUCGGUGGGGGAUGUGCUCGCGGCCUAUCAGCUUGAUGGUGGGGUAAUGGCCUACCAUGGCUUCGACGGGUAGCCGGCCUGAGAGGGUGACCGGCCACACUGGGACUGAGACACGGCCCAGACUCCUACGGGAGGCAGCAGUGGGGAAUAUUGGACAAUGGGCGGAAGCCUGAUCCAGCAACGCCGCGUGAGGGAUGACGGCCUUCGGGUUGUAAACCUCUUUCAGCACAGACGAAGCGAAAGUGACGGUAUGUGCAGAAGAAGCACCGGCCAACUACGUGCCAGCAGCCGCGGUAAUACGUAGGGUGCGAGCGUUGUCCGGAAUUAUUGGGCGUAAAGGGCUCGUAGGCGGUUUGUCGCGUCGGGAGUGAAAACACACAGCUUAACUGUGUGCUGGCUUCCGAUACGGGCAGACUAGAGGUAUGCAGGGGAGAACGGAAUUCCUGGUGUAGCGGUGAAAUGCGCAGAUAUCAGGAGGAACACCGGUGGCGA